UAAAAUCCCCAUUUCACCGAAGUGCUCACCUUUGACGAUCAACGCUUCUCAAACCAAAUUCACCAAAGAAUCGGUCGUUUCCAGCCCGACUCCUAAACAAUCAACCAAAUCCAAGCAUUCAAACUCAACAUACAUGAAAUUUGCAAACUAUCACCCAUAACAGAAAAUCCCCAACACGCAACAUGAAGGAUAGAAAGCUACUUAC
Molecule: long non-coding RNA, 205 nt
Filed under: Gossypium raimondii (Peruvian cotton)
Lineage: Eukaryota; Viridiplantae; Streptophyta; Magnoliopsida; Malvales; Malvaceae
Description: long non-coding RNA (GRAI_LNC009371)
Source: RNAcentral